Molecule: ribosomal RNA, 225 nt
Filed under: uncultured bacterium
Lineage: Bacteria
Description: partial 16S ribosomal RNA
Rfam family: Bacterial small subunit ribosomal RNA
Source: RNAcentral
GACGACCUACGUACCGUUAAGGUGGAGGGGGGAGUAGCCGGGCUAACGCCCCGGGUAAUACCGCAUACGGUUGCCGAGGGGAGUCCCUUGGCAAAGAAACCUCCGGGGCACAGAGAGGGGCUCGCGGCCUAUCAGCUAGUUGGUGAGGUAAUGGCUCACCAAGGCGACGACGGGUAGCUGGUCUGAGAGGAUGGCCAGCCACAUUGGGACUGAGAUACGGCCCAG